This 768-nucleotide long non-coding RNA is filed under the name Homo sapiens (human). RNAcentral's name for it is "HSALNT0336283". The record is from RNAcentral. Lineage: Eukaryota; Metazoa; Chordata; Mammalia; Primates; Hominidae.
AGAUCAGCGCUUUUCAGUUCCAAGAUACAGAUUCCGGUUCCAAUGAAUGCUGGUUGAAAAUACGGCCGUGGUUUUAAAUAUCAUGAAACUAUUUUACGUCCGUAGUACUUUCAUCUAUUUUUAUAAGAAUGUUUUGUAACUGAGAAACCUAAAGAGAUGAUGAAUUUCCCCCACCGCCCCCGACUAUUUUGCCUUUCAGUGACGCGGUAAUAUUUUACGAUAGGUGCCGAUUCAAAUCAGUGGCUUUCAGAAAGUACAGCUGCUAUUCUUUGGUGCCGCUAUUCAGAAUGACAAUGUGAAAUAAAAAUGAUUCUGACUAUGGGAAGGUCUGAUCUUCCUAUGAAUGAAAACAAUCAUGUGGGCCACAGAGAGCUCUCUCUUUCCAGCUAUCGAGGGACUUUUUGCAGAGAGAGAAAAGGAUCCUAAAGCCAUGUUCCCGAUACUGCAGACUUGGCGAGAUGGCGGCGGGCUCCUCCCACCUCUGCGGCAGCGUCACAAUCAAUAAUGCAGGGCUCUGCGGCAGAGGAAGCGCCUGCUUUUAUAUAGGGGCGCCCGGACCCCAGAGCAGGGCUAGUCCCUUAACCCAUUCCGCCAUCUAGCGUCCGCAGGGGCUCAUGGCAGGUUGGAGCCGGACAGUCUGGAAACUGCAAUCUAGAUUUUGCAGAAGGGUGACCUUUAGCCUUCUGCAAAACCUAGAUCUCACUUAAUGUAGAUCUCACUGAAGAAGGCAAAUAAAAAGUGAGUGGAGUGUUUAUUCAUUUUCCUGUA